GACGAACGCUGGCGGCGUGCUUAACACAUGCAAGUCGAACGGUGAAGCUCCAGCUUGCUGGAGUGGAUCAGUGGCGAACGGGUGAGUAACACGUGAGCAACCUGCCCCUGACUCUGGAAUAAGCGCUGGAAACGGCGUCUAAUACUGGAUACGAGAAGGGUCCGCAUGGGCACUUUCUGGAAAGUUUUUCGGUUGGGGAUGGGCUCGCGGCCUAUCAGCUUGUUGGUGAGGUAAUGGCUCACCAAGGCGACGACGGGUAGCCGGCCUGAGAGGGCGACCGGCCACACUGGGACUGAGACACGGCCCAGACUCCUACGGGAGGCAGCAGUGGGGAAUAUUGCACAAUGGGCGAAAGCCUGAUGAAGCGACGCCGCGUGAGGGAUGACGGCCUUCGGGUUGUAAACCUCUUUCAGCAGGGAAGAAGCGAAAGUGACGGUACCUGCAGAAGAAGCACCGGCUAACUACGUG
Molecule: ribosomal RNA, 468 nt
Filed under: uncultured bacterium
Lineage: Bacteria
Description: partial 16S ribosomal RNA
Rfam family: Bacterial small subunit ribosomal RNA
Source: RNAcentral